This 441-nucleotide ribosomal RNA is filed under the name uncultured bacterium. RNAcentral describes it as "partial 16S ribosomal RNA". It matches the Rfam family "Bacterial small subunit ribosomal RNA", at positions 338 to 795 of the family's 1533-position model. The record is from RNAcentral.
CCUACGGGAGGCAGCAGUGGGGGAUAUUGCACAAUGGGGGGAACCCUGAUGCAGCGACGCCGCGUGGGUGAAGGAGUGCUUCGGCAUGUAAAGCCCUAUCGGCAGGGAAGAAGCAAGACGGUACCUGACUAAGAAGCCCCGGCUAACUACGUGCCAGCAGCCGCGGUAAUCCGUAGGGGGCGAGCGUUCUCCGGAUUCACUGGGUGUAAAGGGAGCGUAGACGGCCAAGCAAGCCAGGGGUGAAAGCCCGGGGCCCAACCCCGGGACUGCACUUGGAACUGGAUGGCUGGAGUGGGGGAGGGGGAGGGGGAAGUGCUGGUGUAGGGGUGAAAUGCGUAGAUAUCAGGAGGAACACCGGCGGCGAAGGCGGCCUGCUGGACCGCGACUAACGUUGAGGCUCGAAAGCGUGGGGAGCGAACAGGAUUAGAUACCCCAGUAGUC